UACGUAGGGUCCGAGCGUUGUCCGGAAUUAUUGGGCGUAAAGGGCUCGUAGGCGGCUUGUCGCGUCGGGAGUGAAAACACCGGGCUUAACUCGGUGCUUGCUUUCGAUACGGGCAGACUGGAGGUAUGCAGGGGAGAACGGAAUUCCUGGUGUAGCGGUGAAAUGCGCAGAUAUCAGGAGGAACACCGGGGGCGAAGGCGGCAUCCUGGGCCAACACUGGCGCUGAGUGAGCGAAAGCCAGGGGAGCGAACGGG
This 254-nucleotide ribosomal RNA is filed under the name uncultured bacterium. RNAcentral's name for it is "partial 16S ribosomal RNA". It matches the Rfam family "Bacterial small subunit ribosomal RNA", at positions 524 to 776 of the family's 1533-position model. The record is from RNAcentral.